GCUGUGAGCUCGGAUAGAGAAAUGUAUCAACCACCACGAACAGGUUGGCGUAUUGGGGUGGAUUGUUCUGUCCUCUGUAUUUCAGACCAAAGCAAGACAACGUUUAAAGCUCACUAUGGAUCUACUAACAGGGGUCAGUGGUCUAAAAUGAGUCUCUCUGGGGAGAGAGAGG
Coregonus clupeaformis (lake whitefish) is the source of this 172-nucleotide long non-coding RNA. RefSeq lists it as uncharacterized. The record is from RefSeq and is a predicted model, not a curated record. Lineage: Eukaryota; Metazoa; Chordata; Actinopteri; Salmoniformes; Salmonidae. The transcript has 3 exons.